GACGAACGCUGGCGGCGGGCUUAACACAUGCAAGUCGAACGCCCCGGAGAGGGGGUGGCAGUCGGGUUGGUAGCGCGUCGGAACGUACCCUUUUCUGCGGAAUACCUCUGGCAUACUGGUAUUAAUCCCGUAUACGCCCUACGGAGGACAGGUUUAUCGGGGACGGCUUGGGCCGCGUUGGAGUAGCUAGUUGGUGGGGUAAAGGCCUACCCAGGCGACGUUCCAUAGCUGGGCUGAGAGGAUGAUCAGCCACAUUGGGACUGAGACACGGCCCAAGCUCCUACGGGAGGAAGCAGGGGGGAAUAUUGGAGAAUGGGCGCAAGCGUGAUCCAGCCAUGCCGGGUGUGUGAGGAAGGCGUUAGGGUUGUAAAGCUCUUUCAUCGAUGAAGAUAAUGACGGUAGUCGGAUAAGAAGCCCCGGCUAACUACGUG
This 431-nucleotide ribosomal RNA is filed under the name uncultured bacterium. Its description in RNAcentral is "partial 16S ribosomal RNA". It matches the Rfam family "Bacterial small subunit ribosomal RNA", at positions 28 to 507 of the family's 1533-position model. The record is from RNAcentral.